CGGAACGUAGCUCAGAUGGCUAGAGCGCCAGUAUGGGGUACUGGAGGCCAGCGGUUCAAGUCCGCUCGUUCCGACUA
This 77-nucleotide transfer RNA is filed under the name Candidatus Falkowbacteria bacterium CG1_02_37_44. RNAcentral's name for it is "tRNA-Pro". It matches the Rfam family "tRNA". Rfam says of the family: Transfer RNA (tRNA) molecules are approximately 80 nucleotides in length. The record is from RNAcentral. RNAcentral also lists the same sequence under 1 other name. Lineage: Bacteria; Candidatus Falkowiibacteriota.